CCCGCAGAGCCUGGCCCUUUAAGGGCCUCCGAGGAGCUAUAUAAUAAGGUCCACCUUGGAGGCCUGAGUGCCUUUCUGCAGCCCCAGGAGGGCGGGGAGGGUGCAGGAGGUCAUCGUGGGGCUGGAGCGGCUGGCCUUCGCCUUCGAGAAGGAGGUGGAGACGCAGAAGGGCACUGGGCUUCUGAUUUCCAGGCCAUGGACAGUGAGUGCUGCCGGGACCCCUAGUCCGCCCCCAGCUUCCUCUCAGCUGCUCACCAGAGAGGGGACUGCAACAAUAAGGAACGUCCGUUCCUCCACGUGAAGCCGGCCUUCAAGACCCAGCACUGUCCGUGGUACGACCGAGGUUUCUGCAAGCACGGUCCACUGUGUUAAGUACCGACAUGUCCGCAGGACAAAGUGUACUAACUACUUAAAGCUGGCUUCUGCCCGGAAGGACCCAGGUACCAAUUUGCACACUUGUCAAGCAGCCCCUGGGGUCCGUACUUCCUCCUGCCUGGGAACACCGCGGGGCCCCCUCCCUGACAAGAGUGCCUGCCUCCUCAUCCUCAGACGAGGCCCCAUGAGCCGGGGGCCGCCCACUGCCUGGGGCUCAGGUGCUGGAGCAGGCCAUGCUACAGGUGUUGAAAAAUGAGCUGUUAUGCCAGUAAGUGUCAACUGGUAGGAUUCAUUAAAACACAAGACCCCACGUUGGUCUGGGGAACUGGAGGACCUUCUGUAGUGAAGAUGCUGGAAGGCCGUGCUGCCCGCUAACCAGCACAGAGGAGGCCGAAGCAGCCUGCUUCCCGCUUCCUCUUCUCCUCUAAGUGAGCGAGCUGCUGAAGACACAGCAGGAGUGGGGGCUCACUGUCCGUGGCAGCAACGAGUUAGUCGUAGAGCAGGGAAGUGCAAUGCCCGCACGGCCAGCUUGAGGGUGCAGCCUGCUCGGCUCCCCAUGGCCGCAUGCACACAGGCACGCCGCUCCCGGGCACUUGCGCUGCACCCAGCCUGAGCUACUGCUGUAAACUGGCGAUUAAAUCAAGUUUCUUUUGCACGACAGCUGCUUCCCUGGACGGCUUCCUUAAAUUCAGGAUUUGAUACUGUGCUCGUCUUACGUGAGGGAUCACGGGGGCAGGGAGGGGAGGUAGACGGUACCAACGAGGCUUGGCCCAGGAGGUGAGGAAGUGACGUGGGGCAGCGAGCACCAUGUGAUCUACAUCAUCGUCUAAGUCAGCCACCUGGGCAGCCUAACCCAUGGGGCGAGGCUGGGGGAGGCCAGGCCAGGCCCGCUGGAGGAAGAGAAGAGGGAUGGUGUGGAGGGACCAGGCCCGCCGGUCUUGCAGACACAGGCAGCGGCCUUAUCCCGCUUGGUGGAAGGGGAGAGGGCGGGGGGCAAGACCAUCCAAGAGCACGCUGGCCCAGCAGACAGCUCCUCCCUGGGCGGGUAUGUGACACAUGGCACGCAGCCAGACCACCAACCUUCUCAAGCCUGCACCCUCUCUCCGGGGGAAUGUGACGGCCGCUUUGGCCUCACUGGGUGGUUGUGAGCAGGCGGCAGGUGAAGAAUGGUGCUUGGCUGACGAAAGCAAGCGCCCAGGUGGUAGCUGAAGUUUGGCUGGAUGGAGGUGGGGCCUCUUGCUGGAUUCCAGUCAGGAUGUGGACGCAGGACGAGGCCACA
Long non-coding RNA from Bos taurus (domestic cattle), 1654 nucleotides. Lineage: Eukaryota; Metazoa; Chordata; Mammalia; Artiodactyla; Bovidae. The record is from Ensembl.